CAAGCACCAUUUAUUAAAUAGGGAAUCGUUUCCCCAUUUCUUGUUUUUGUCAGGUUUGUCAAAGAUCAGAUGGUUGUAGAUGUGUGGUAUUAUUUCUGAGGGCUCUGUUCUGUUCCAUUGGUCUAUAUCUGUGUUUUGCUUACUGUAGCCUUGCAGUAUAGUUUGAAGUCAGGUAGCGUGAUGCCUCCAGCUUUGCUCUUUUGGCUUAGGAUUGUCUUGGCAAUGUGGGCUCUUUUUUGAACUUUAAAGUAGUUUUUUCCCAUUCUGUGAAAAAAGUCAUCAGUAGCUUGAUGGGGAUGGCAUUGAAUCUAUAAAUUACCUUGGGCAAUAUGGCCAUUUUCAUGAUAUUGAUUCUUCCUAUCCAUGAGCAUAAAAUGUUCUUCCCUUUGUUAGUUGCAUACAUUUCUAAAGUAUUUUUUGUUUAAAGACUUAAUGAAAUUAUAUUAGAUCAGUUUGAUUUUCCAAAGGAUACAGACAAAUGCAUUUUUCAAUGUAAAAACAACCCUACAGUACUUUUGGUAAACAUGUAUAAUGUACCUCUGUUUUAGCAUGUGUUCCUUUAAGAACAAUGUAUUAUUUUGUUGGUUUUGCCGAUAAAAUCAUAAAGAAUUAUAACAAAAUGAAAGUUCAAAAUAAAAUGCAUGUUUGUAUGCUUACAGACGGAAAACUCUGUCAUUUUGGCUAGUUAUCAAUCAAAAAAUAUUCAUUGGUUUUUCUAUAUGGAGCCCAGCUUUCUAAUUAGGUCCUACAUGGAUACAGAGCAAAUGCAGUAGGUGUUCUUACAUUCAGGAAUCAUUGUAAAUAAAAUAGGACUUAAGUUAGUUCUUGAAUCAUUAGUUAUAAUUCUUAAAUAAAAGUACCUCAUACAGAUUGGAAUUGGUGGUAGCAGCUUACUUUUCCCAUGAUCAGUAUAAGACAAUUGUUAAUAUUUAAUUUUGAAGAAAAUAAAAUGCCUCACUUUUAUUCCUCUAAGACACAUCAUUCUCUGUAAGAAGAGGUUUAUAAAUUACGUAAUAGGUCACAGGUAACUUCUCUUCAUCCUUAUGAAUUGAGAAUUACACCACUGGAUGCAAUAGAGUUACUCUGGAAAAUUAAAUAACCUUUGUAUUAAAAAGAAAAUAUUCUCUAUUGUUGUAGUACACUAAGCAAAAUGACUUGAUUUCAUUUUUUAUUCUUACUGCUUACCUCAAGAGCAGUCUAUUGCUGAGACGUGACAGCGUGCUGGCAGGCAGCCCUCGCUCGCUCUCGGCGCCUCCUCUGCCUGGGCUCCCACUUUGGUGGCACUUGAGGAGUCCUUCAGCCCGCCGCUGCACUGUGGGAGCCCCUUCCUGGGCUGGCAGAGGCCGGAGCCGGCUCCCUCAGCUUGCAAGGCGGUGUGGAGGGAGAGGCGCAGGCGGGAACCAGGGCUGCGCGCGGCGCUUCCGGGCCAGCGUGAGUUCCGGGUGGGCGUGGACUCGGCGGGCCCGGCACUCAGAGCGGCCUGCUGGCCCCGCCUGCCCUGGGCAGUGAAGGGCUUAGCACCUGGUCCAGCAGCUGCUGUGCUCGAGUUCUCGCGGGGCCUUAGCUGCCUCCCCGCGGGGCAGGGCUUGGGACCUGCAGCCCGCCAUGCCUGAGCUUCCCCCCGCCCCCGCCGUGGGCUCCUGUGCGGCCCGAGCCUCCCCGACGAGCGCCGCCCCCUGCUCCACGAUGCCCAGUCCCAUCGACCACCCAAGGGCUGAGGAGUGCGGGCUCACGGUUACAGGAUUCCCAUUUCAGAACUACGACCAUUUGAAAAAUAGAAGAUUUAAAGAUUGACGCAAAGUGCAUGUACCAUGAUACACCAGAGCUUUGGGCAAGGUGACUUUCUGCAUAGGAGGCUGGUCCUGAAGGAAUUGACACCUGGAGUCUGUUCAGUGACUGCAUUCUCUGAAGCUCUACAUAGAUGUCUUCCUUGAAGUGUGACCUAGGUGUGAUGUCUUCAUGUCUACCACACACCACCAAAAAAAGUAAUGCUAUAUUAGUAACAAUGUUUUUCAUAAUGUCCUAAAUCUGGGAACUACCUAAUGUAUCAAAUUGAAAUGCAUAAAUAUAAUGCAGAAUAUUGAUAUAAUGUUAUAGCAUUGAUAUUUGAUAGGGUUUGGCUGUGUCCCCACCCAAAUCUCAUCUUGAAUGCCCACAUGUUGUGGGACAGAACUUGUAGGAGGUAAUUGAAUCAUGAAGGCAGGUCUUUCCCAUGCUGUUCUCGUGAUAAUGAAUAAGUCUCACAAGAUCUGAUGGUUAUAUAAGAAGGAGUUUCCCUGAACAAGCUUUCUCUUUACCUGCUGCUAUCCAUGUAGAAUAAGACUUGCUCCUCCUUGCCUUCCACCAUAAUUGUGAGGCCUCCCAAUCCAUGUGGAACUGUAAGUCUAUUAAACCUCUUUCUUUAGUAAAUUACCCAGUCUUUGGUAUGUCUUUAUCAGCAGCGUGAGAACAGACUAAUACAGUAAAUUGGUACCAAUAGAGUGGGUCGCUGCUGAAAAGAUACCCAAAAAUGUGGAAGGGACUUCGGAACUGCAUAACAGGCAGAGAUUGGAACAGUUUGGAGGGCUCAGAAGAAGACAGGAAAAUGUGAGAAACUGUGGAACUCUCUAGAGACUUGUGAAAUGGCUUUCACCAAAAUGUCGAUAAUGAUAUUGGCAAUGAAAUCUAGGCUGAGCUUAUCUCAGAUGGAGAUGACGAACUUGUUGGGAACUGGAGCAAAGGUGACUCUUGUUAUGUUAUAGCAAUGAGACUGGCGGCAUUUUGCCCCUACACUAGAUAUUUCUGAAACUUUAAACUUGAGAGAGAUGAUUUAGGGUAUCUUCCAGAAGAAAUUUCUAAGCAGCAAAACAUUCAAGAGGUAACUUGGGUGCUGUUAAAGGCAUUCAGUUUUACAAGGGAGGCAGAGCAUAAAAUUUUGGAAAAUCUACAGCCUGAAGAUGUGCUAGAAAAGAAAAUCCCAUUUUCUGAGGAGAAAUUUCAAGCUGCCUGCAAAAAUUUGCUUAAGUAACAAAGAGCCAAAUGUUAAUCCCCAAGACAAUGGGGAAAAUGUUUCAAGGACAUGUCAGAGGACUUCAUGGCAGCCUCUCCCAUCACAGACUCAAAGGCCUAGGAGGAAAAAAUGGUUUCUUGGGCCAGGCCCAGGGUCUGUAUGCUGUGUGCAGCCUAGGGACCUGGUGCCCUGCAUCCCAGCUGCUACAGGCAUGGCUGAAAGAGGCCAAUAUAGAGCAUGGGCCGUCGCUUCAGAGAGUGCAAGCCCCAAGCCUUGGCAGCUUCCACAUGAUGUUGAGCCUGCGAGUGCAACGAAGUCAAGAAUUGGGGUUUGAGAACCUCCACCUAGAUUUCAGAAGAUGUAUGGAAAUGCCUGGAUGCCCUGGCAGAAAUUUUGCUGCAGGGGUGUGGCCCUAAUGGAGAACCCCUGCUAAGGCAGUGUGGAAGGGAAAUGUGGGGUUGGAGCCCUUCACACAGAAUCUCUACUGGGGCAUUUCCUAGUGGAACUGUGAGAAGAGGGCCACCAUCCUCCAGACCCCAGAAUAGUAGAUCCACUGAGAGCUUGCACCGUGCGCCUGGAAAAGCGCCAGCACUCAACACCAGCCCAUGAAAGCAGCCGAGAAGGAGACUGUACCUUACAAAGCUACAGGGGUGGAGCUGCCCAAGACCAUGGGAACUCAUCUCUUGCCUCAGCAUGACCUGGAUGUGAGACAUGGAGUCAAAGGAGACCAUUUUAGAGCUUUAAUAUUUGACUGCCCUGCUGGAUUUCAAACUUGCAUGGGGCCUGUAGCCCCACUCUUUUGACCAAUUUCUCCCAUUUGAAAUGGAUGUAUUUACACAAUGCCUGUAACCCCAUUGUAUCUAGGAAGCAACUAACUUGCUUUUGAUUUUACAGGCUCAUAGGCUGAAGGGACUUGCCUUGUCUCAAAUGAGACGUUGGACUGUGGACUUUUGAGUUAAUGCUGAAAUGAGAUAGGUCUUUGGGGUACUAUUGGGAAGGCAUAAUUGGUUUUGAAAUGUAAUGGCAUGAGAUUUGGGAGGGGGUGGGGUGGAAUGAUACGGUUUGUCUGUGUACCCACCCAAAUCUCAUCUUGAGUUCCCUCUCUUGUGGGAGGGACCUGGUGGGAGGUAAUUGAAUUAUGGGGUCAGAUCUUUUCUGUGCUGUUCUCAUGAAUAGUGAAUAAGUCUCACAAGAUUUGAUGGUUCUAUAAGGGGGAGUUUUCCUGCAUAAGCUCUCUCUCUACCAUCCAUGUAAGAAGUGAUUUUCUCCUCUUUGCCUUCCACCAUACUUGUGAGGCCUCCAGAGCCAUGUGGAACAAGUUCAUUAAGUGUCUUUCUUUUGUAAAUUGGCCAGUCUCAGGUAUGUUUUUAUCAGCAGCAUGAGAACAAACUAAUACAAGCCUAUAGAAGUAACAAUUAACAUAGAUACUCUAUACAAGAGCGUAGGUCCAUUUAACAAACAUAUUACUUAGGAAAAAGACAAAAUACUGUCUAUGAUGCCAUUCAUAUAAAAUUUAAAAACAACCAUAACAUGUCUAUGAUGCCACACAGUAAGGAAAGCAGGGCAUGUGGUAGCCACAUCUCCCUUUAAAAAAAUGUCUGGAGAGGCCUGCAGUCACUUUACCCUCAUCCAAGCUGCACCCUCUUAUUGGUCUCUUAAAUGGGGCAAUGAGAAUACAGGAAUAGCACAGAUUAAAGAUAGUAAGAGUGUCUGCAAUAUUCCAUACAGUCUUGUACUCCAUCUUAUUAAAACAAAACCACCCAUGUCCUCAGUUUUGUGACCCAUUAUGUUUCUUCUUUGGCUGAAACUAUUUUGAGUUGCUUCCCAGACACUUGUCUUAUAAAGGGCCUGCAAUGCACAGACUCUUAGAAACCAGUGCCCAGUUUAUAUCAUCAGUUUGACUUUUGGAGAAACUGGGGAAGGUAGAUAAAAUUAUAUAUAUAUACAAACACGCACACACACAUAUAUAUAUACACACACACAUAUAUAAUAACGCAUCUAUGAUGCAUAUAUAUAAUGCAUAUGCACAUGUAUGGUACAUAUAUGAGGCAUAUAUAUACAUCAUAUGUGUGUCAUACAUUUAUCAUUUAUAUAUGUAUCAUAUAUGUAUGUAAAUAUUUUAUUCCUUUUACUGUGUCAGAUGUCCAUUUGGGAAAAUAAUAAGAUUAAUGAGAAAAUAUGAAAUAAGCUUUUGGUAUAGUACUGUUCAAUGAAAUUUUAUGAAUGCCUGUCUUAUUUCAAAACAGUGCACUUAAUAAGAAUAAUCAAUCUCAUAUUACCUUCCAGUUUUAAUGUUAGUGAAUAAGACUGAUAAUUUAAUAAAUCUUAGGAUGAUGGUGUGUAUAUAGUCUCUAAGUAACAUGGUGAAGACCAGUUGGUUAAGCCUGGUGAUGCAGCAACUCAAUUGUAAGAACUAAACUGUAACAAUUGAACUUAAAUAAAAGACAAAUGAAUGAAAAAAAUUAUAUUUUAAUGCUCAAAAUUAUUCUUCAUUGUUGUUGGAGGUAUGAAUAACAGAAAAUGAAUUAUGUUAUUUCCUAAGCAUAUAAUGGGUAGAAAUAAGAAUGUCUUUUGAAAUUUUUUUUACCAGUUUAAAAAUAUGACAUUAAAAUUGCAUUUGUGCAGGAAAUAAUACAACGGGUAUGAAAGAAAGAAAAAGAAAAGUUUUUUGCUGUGAGGAAUAUAUUUUUUCUCCUAAGGAUAUGUCACUUUCACCCAAGUAAUCUGGUUGCCACAUUGCAAUAUUUCACCUGACAAUAAAAAAAUCAUUGUAUGUUAUUCUUCUUCUGUCCCUGGAGAAUAUGAACGUUAAUGAUAACAGCAUUGUGUCUACCUAAAUGAAAACAAAAACCUAAUUGUAAUAAUCCAGUACAUACAAGUGUGCCAUAAUGAAAAAUAAAGUAAAAUAUUUAUUCAGA
This 5907-nucleotide long non-coding RNA is filed under the name Homo sapiens (human). RNAcentral's name for it is "HSALNT0084620". The record is from RNAcentral. Lineage: Eukaryota; Metazoa; Chordata; Mammalia; Primates; Hominidae.